Molecule: unclassified non-coding RNA, 287 nt
Filed under: uncultured fungus
Lineage: Eukaryota; Fungi
Description: partial contains 5.8S rRNA and ITS2
Source: RNAcentral
AACGCAACUGGCGCCGGUUUACCGGCAUGCCUGUUUCAGUGUGCUACGAGAGUAAACUAUCAUUAUGACAUAUAAUGCGAUUGAGGUACAUUUAUGUUCUUCUUUCGUUAAAUAUGAAGGUGUGAAAGAUGAGUAAUCUCUCACACUGGCAAACGUAGUAGUCAUGCUUGUUCUGGAUCUCGUUUAACCAGUGCUAAAGGUUAUUGCGUAGCUAUAAAUCACAUCUAAUCAAUUAAAUAUCUCCAAAUUCGACAUCUGAAAUCAGACAAGGAUACCCGCUGAACUUA